RNAcentral lists this ribosomal RNA (254 nucleotides) under uncultured bacterium. RNAcentral describes it as "partial 16S ribosomal RNA". It matches the Rfam family "Bacterial small subunit ribosomal RNA", at positions 524 to 776 of the family's 1533-position model. The record is from RNAcentral.
UACGUAGGUGGCAAGCGUUGUCCGGAUUUACUGGGCGUAAAGAGCGCGCAGGCGGUCGUUCAAGUCGCGUGUGAAAGCCCCCGGCUCAACUGGGGAGGGUCACGCGAUACUGAUCGACUCGAAGGCAGGAGAGGGUAGUGGAAUUCCCGGUGUAGUGGUGAAAUGCGUAGAUAUCGGGAGGAACACCAGUGGCGAAGGCGACUACCUGGCCUGUUUCUUGACGCUGAGACGCGAAAGCGUGGGGAGCGAACAGG